CGGGAAACUGGGGAUAAUUCCGGAUAACGCACAUAUGCUGGAAUGCUUUAUGCGUAAAAUGGAUUCGUCUGCCCAAGGAUGGGUCUGCGGCCUAUCAGGUAGUAGUGGGUGUAAUGUACCUACUACCUAACAACGGGUACGGGUUGUGAGAGCAAGAGCCCGGAGAUGGAUUCUGAGACAUGAAUCCAAGGCCCUACGGGGCGCAGCAGGCGCGAAAACUUUACAAUGCGGGAAACCGUGAUAAGGGGACACCGAGUGCCAGCAUCAUAUGCUGGCUGUCCAGAUGUGUAAAAUACAUCUGUUAGCAAGGGCCGGGCAAGACCGGUGCCAGCCGCCGCGGUAACACCGGCGGCCCGAGUGGUGAUCGUGAUUAUUGGGUCUAAAGGGUCCGUAGCCGGUUUGGUCAGUCCUCCGGGAAAUCUGAUAGCUCAACUAUUAGGCUUUCGGGGGAUACUGCCAGGCUUGGAACCGGGAGAGGUAAGAGGUACUACAGGGGUAGGAGUGAAAUCUUGUAAUCCCUGUGGGACCACCUGUGGCGAAGGCGUCUUACCAGAACGGGUUCGACGGUGAGGGACGAAAGCUGGGGGCACGAACCGGAUUAGAUACCCGGGUAGUCCCAGCCGUAAACGAUGCUCGCUAGGUGUCAGGCAUGGCGCGACCGUGUCUGGUGCCGCAGGGAAGCCGUGAAGCCCGCCACCUGGGACUCC
Molecule: ribosomal RNA, 707 nt
Filed under: uncultured Methanosarcinaceae archaeon
Lineage: Archaea; Methanobacteriati; Methanobacteriota; Methanomicrobia; Methanosarcinales; Methanosarcinaceae
Description: SSU rRNA
Rfam family: Archaeal small subunit ribosomal RNA
Source: RNAcentral